CAUGCAAGUCGAGCGGAAACGAGUUAUCUGAACCUUCGGGGAACGAUAACGGCGUCGAGCGGCGGACGGGUGAGUAAUGCCUAGGAAAUUGCCCUGAUGUGGGGGAUAACCAUUGGAAACGAUGGCUAAUACCGCAUAAUGCCUACGGGCCAAAGAGGGGGACCUUCGGGCCUCUCGCGUCAGGAUAUGCCUAGGUGGGAUUAGCUAGUUGGUGAGGUAAGGGCUCACCAAGGCGACGAUCCCUAGCUGGUCUGAGAGGAUGAUCAGCCACACUGGAACUGAGACACGGUCCAGACUCCUACGGGAGGCAGCAGUGGGGAAUAUUGCACAAUGGGCGCAAGCCUGAUGCAGCCAUGCCGCGUGUGUGAAGAAGGCCUUCGGGUUGUAAAGCACUUUCAGUCGUGAGGAAGGUAGUAUAGUUAAUAGCUGCAUUAUUUGACGUUAGCGACAGAAGAAGCACCGGCUAACUCCGUGCCAGCAGCCGCGGUAAUACGGAGGGUGCGAGCGUUAAUCGGAAUUACUGGGCGUAAAGCGCAUGCAGGUGGUUUGUUAAGUCAGAUGUGAAAGCCCGGGGCUCAACCUCGGAAUUGCAUUUGAAAC
RNAcentral lists this ribosomal RNA (600 nucleotides) under uncultured Gammaproteobacteria bacterium. Its description in RNAcentral is "bacterial SSU rRNA". It matches the Rfam family "Bacterial small subunit ribosomal RNA", at positions 54 to 633 of the family's 1533-position model. Lineage: Bacteria; Pseudomonadati; Pseudomonadota; Gammaproteobacteria. The record is from RNAcentral.